UGUCAUGCUUGUUCCUUACAGUUUAUUACGUGGUGAAGUGUUGGAGAUGGAGCUUUGUAUAUCAGAAGUUAAAUCAUGAAUGAUUGUAUGAUUAGGUCUGGUUUGGGAUUACAAGAUGUCUAAGUGUCUUUGUAGGUUCUUUUUUUUUUUUUUUAUCUAUGACAUUGAUGUUAAUUUAAUGAUGUUUUGGCUUCUUUGAAUU
This is a long non-coding RNA of Arabidopsis thaliana (thale cress), 202 nucleotides long. RefSeq annotates it as other RNA. The transcript has a single exon. The record is from RefSeq. NCBI's taxonomy places the organism in Eukaryota, Viridiplantae, Streptophyta, Magnoliopsida, Brassicales, Brassicaceae.